Molecule: non-coding RNA, 3543 nt
Organism: Xyrichtys novacula (pearly razorfish)
Lineage: Eukaryota; Metazoa; Chordata; Actinopteri; Labriformes; Labridae
Source: the annotation of a GenBank genome assembly
UUUCCAGUCGUUUAGACAAUAUGGAAAUUAAUGUGAAAUUAAAAAACAAAGUAUUAAUAGAAAGGUAAUGACUGUCCUGUGUAGGUGACAGUGAUAUCCAAUAGGCUAGGCACUCACGAGGCUGGCUGUGGCAAGUGCAAGUGAAAGCCACACGCACUGGCAGGAAGAACAGCAAACGCCGAUGAAGGAAAAGGGUCUUUGCAGUGAUGGGCGUUACCAGGAGAGGACGAUGGCCAGAGGACGCAAAUGGGACGGGGAGGCAGCACGUUGGGGGGGGGGGGGGGGGGGCGCGACACAGCUCGGGCCCGCCAGUGCCCCAACGGGGCCCUAGUUAUUAUUUUUCCUCCCCUUUGAACUGGAAAAUGGCCCACUUCCCACUGGCGAAAACUCAUGAAAUUUGGCAGGACGACCGGGCCUGGUGAAAAAUUUGAUAUUCCGAAGUCGCCCAAACAAGAAAAUGCAAAAUGGCUCCAUAGCGCCCCCUAAGGUGAAAAUUCACACUAUUCACUGUCACGCCUGUACGCUUUGUCAAAAUGACACAAAAAUUGACACACACAUGUAUCUCAAUAAGAUCUACAAAAAAGUCAGUGCGGGCGUAUCUGUCAAAUGUACGGUUAAAGGGUUAUUUCGCAUUUUUUGCCGAUCCGCACACAUUGGAAUUUCGCUAACUCCUCCGAAGGCUUUCGUUCCACCGGCACCACAUUUGCUCAGGCCAAAUUACACCCCAUGGCCAUUAAAAGUUAUUCAAAUCAUGACGCUGCACCCUACGGUUUACGUUCUAGGGGGCGCCAAAGAUAACCCAAAAAUCCACAUUUUUAAAAGUCUUAUAACUUUUUAUUUUUGUCCUCACUGGCCUCCAAGUUUUCUAGGAUGAUGCAAUGUCCAGCCAUCAACACAUUUGUGAAGGAAUUUUUACUUCCUAAAAGAGCGCCCCCCCAUGGCAGGAGAAAAAAGUCCAUUUUUUCUUGUCCCCUAAGGUGAAAAUACACAUUGUUGACUGUCACGCCUGUACGCUUUGGCAAAAUGACACAAAAAUUGACAAUCAUGUGUAUCUCAAUUAGAUCUACGAAAAAGUCAAAGAGCGCGUAUCUGUAUAAUGUACGGUAAAAGGGCUAUUUUGCAUUUUUUGCCGAUUCGCACACAUUGGAAUUUUGCUAACUCCUCCUAAGGCUUUCGUCCCACUGACACCAAAUUUGCUCAGGCCAAUCUACACUCCAUGGCCAUUCAAAGUUGUAAAAAUCAUGACGCUGCACCCCACGGUUUACGUUUUAGGGGGCGCCAAAGAUGACCCAAAUAUACAUUACAGUAGACAAAGUAGUUUUGCCCACUGAGUGGCGCCAAAGGGACUUGUCUAUGGAGUCUGUGAGUCACUAUUGGCCGUUUUUGACUACUUUAGAUUUUACCUUUAUAUUUCCUCUUACAAAAUUUUUACCUUGCCUUGCCUGGUAUCAUUUUUUUCAGCACAACCUCACCUGUGUCAAUUUACAGUUAUUUUAUCAUUUUGACAUACUAUAUUUACACAUUGGACCCAAAUUCACACACAAAACAUAAAAUCCGAGUGGAAAAAAGUAACGUUUUUACUGUGAAAACCACAAAUAUGUGUGAUGAACUGUUUUUAAAACUUAAACUUCAAAUAAAAAUUGUAAACUUCAGAACAUAUGCAAAUUUUUAACAAAGAACAUAGUAAUUUACCUCUAUUUACAUCAAAAUGCAGGCAAUGGCUCAGGUGUUCUUUGUAAAAUUAUUUACAAAACACUGUAUAGUCUCACAAAUGUCACUUUUUAUUUAUGCCACUACAAAAAAAACAUGAUGUAAAUGAUGCAUGAUGUAAAACAUGAUGUAAAAAACUUGUGUAGAUCCUCCUCUAUGUUAGUCCAUGUGUAAUUUUUCCAUAAUUCUUUGUUUUUUGCAGCAUUUUUGUUAGUGUAACUGCAGAUUGUGCUGACAGUGUCUAUGGCAAAAAAAAAAAAAAAAAACUGAAAAUGCCUCAACAUGAACCCCUGGUGGUCUCUGAGGGUGAAACCUGCUAACUGCUGCAGCUCUGUCAGCUUCAGUCUCCCAUGCAGAGCUCUGAGCGCAUGUGUGGCUCUGCACCCUUAGCAGCGUUGCUAACUCCUCAGUAAGGAAAGCCUGCUUCAUGUCAGAGUCUCUAAACUCCAGAAGAAGUCGAUAAAAGUCCCUUUCUUUCUAAAAAAAAAGUCGUUAGGGGGUCUGAAAAGUCAUUGAAUCUAACAACAAAGUCGCUAGGUUUGCAACUACGUGUCCCAGACUGCAUCCCUGCUGAGAGUCCCUCCCUCCCUUCUCAUAUUGCAGGAAGAACGUAAGCGCCCGCCCCUUGUCAAUCAGUCACCAUAUAAUUUUGGAUUGGUUGUUGUGGUGAAGUUUUCCACCAAUAGGAGAGAUGUUGUGGUGUGUUUUUUUUUUUCCUUUGGCAAGCCUUUUCCGCCUGUAAGACCUGUCGCUAAUGUCUGCAUGCUAUGUUUUCCUGUCUCAUACAGCGCGAUCGAGCGCCGAACGUGAUCAAAAUAAGCAGAAAACAAGUAUCGCGGACAUAAUUUAUCAUAACUCUGGUUUUAUUUGGCCUAUCAACACAAUUUAAAAACUGGUAUAUAGGUUGAGGUCCUCACUUUUGAGAUAAGUUGAAACGGAGAGUCAACGAGGCUCCGUCUUGCAGCUACAUCCGGUUAAAUAUGUCAUGUGACUUGAACGCACACACAGACACACACACACACGCACACACACACACACACACACUCAGAGUCUGGUUUUUAGCACCUGCAAAAACAUGCUAUUUACAUAUUUGACAAGAAUGCAGAGGCUCCUUUUGCCCCUGAAAAAAAUCAAAUUUCAAACACAACUUGACUGGUCAUUUCUCCAAAAGACAACCAUGAAGCUCCAUCCAAACCUGAAGCAGGCAGUUGGUGCAUGUGCACAGUAACCUGAGGGGAGUGAGGUGACUGCUUCUGAGGAGAACAUGAGCAGUGAAGAUUCACCUUAGAGCUAGAACAGAGACGUGCACAUGAUUAUACAGGGGCAGGGGCUCAAGUUUUUUCCAGUCGUUUAUACAAUAUGGAAAUUAAUGUGAAAUUAAAAAACAAAGUAUUAAUAGAAAGGUAAUGACUGUCCUGUGUAGGUGACAGUGAUAUCCAAUAGGCUAGGCACUCACGAGGCUGGCUGUGGCAAGUGUAAGUGAAAGCAACACGCACUGGCAGGAAGAACAGCAAACGCCGAUGAAGGAAAAGGGUCUUUGCAGUGAUGGGCGUUACCAGAGAGGGCGAUGGCCAGAGGACACAAAUGGGACGGGGAGGCAGCGCGUUGGGGGGGGGACGCGACACAGCUCGGGCCCGCCAGUGCCCCAACGGGGUCCUAGUUCCAGUUGUUGCUGUAAUUGAAAGUUUACUGAUGGUUCUAUGAAUAACCAGGGAGGAGUAAUUGAAUAUGGGACCGUCGGACUGAAUUGUAUGCCACCUAAUCCUGCUUGUACUGCUUUUAUGUUUCCUAUCCAGCCAAAACUCCUAAUAUUUGAUUCAUUAUGUUCCCAAC